This 583-nucleotide ribosomal RNA is filed under the name uncultured bacterium. RNAcentral's name for it is "partial 16S ribosomal RNA". It matches the Rfam family "Bacterial small subunit ribosomal RNA", at positions 355 to 937 of the family's 1533-position model. The record is from RNAcentral.
UGGGGAAUUUUGGACAAUGGGCGAAAGCCUGAUCCAGCAAUGCCGCGUGUGUGAAGAAGGCCUUCGGGUUGUAAAGCACUUUUGUCCGGAAAGAAAUCCUUGGCUCUAAUACAGUCGGGGGAUGACGGUACCGGAAGAAUAAGCACCGGCUAACUACGUGCCAGCAGCCGCGGUAAUACGUAGGGUGCAAGCGUUAAUCGGAAUUACUGGGCGUAAAGCGUGCGCAGGCGGUUUGCUAAGACCGAUGUGAAAUCCCCGGGCUCAACCUGGGAACUGCAUUGGUGACUGGCAGGCUAGAGUAUGGCAGAGGGGGGUAGAAUUCCACGUGUAGCAGUGAAAUGCGUAGAGAUGUGGAGGAAUACCGAUGGCGAAGGCAGCCCCCUGGGCCAAUACUGACGCUCAUGCACGAAAGCGUGGGGAGCAAACAGGAUUAGAUACCCUGGUAGUCCACGCCCUAAACGAUGUCAACUAGUUGUUGGGGAUUCAUUCCUUAGUAACGUAGCUAACGCGUGAGGUUGACCGCCUGGGGAGUACGGUCGCAAGAUUAAAACUCAAAUGAAUUGACGGGGUCAUAGCUGUUCCU